AUCCAUUCAGAGCAGCGAUGUCAGCAGCAGCUACGACCGGAAGUAGCUCAGCCCGAGGCCUGGUCUUCAUCAUCAGCCUCGUGUGCCUGGUUUGCGUUGUUAACGCAGACCAAGCGAAGGAACGACUGGCGGAGAUGAGGGAGCAACUCACUAAAGUAGAAGAACUCAUAGAGCACUGGAAGGUGAAAGUCGAGACAGAGCGCAUAAUCAACCUUGAGAUGAUGGAUGGAAAUGACGCCAGGAUGAAAUGUAUCAGACAGCAUUCACUCGCACCUGUGCAGCAAAUGGAAUCUAUGGAGGACGCCUUAGGUUACAACAGAGUGUAUGCAACGAAAUCCUUCUCAAACAUGGCGGCAAAGUUACAGGAGUUAGAAUCAAGACUCGAGGACAUGAAAGCGCAGCUAAGGUUCGCUGAGCACUUUGGCUUUGAUUCGGAAAAUAUGAUGUUUUAGCUUUUAGGUCAGUAUUAGACUGUGGGUCAAAUUUUCAUGACAGCUUCUUUUAUAGGCCGCUUUUAUGUUAAACCUAAAUCUGUGUGUAGAAAGUAGAACAUACAGCAGCUCGGGUUUAACCAUGUUUCAAAGCAUAAUUUGAAGUGAUUUGAUUUUUUUUUCUGCCAAAUUUUACUUAGAUUGCACUGGAUUUUUAAUAAAGUAGUUUUUAGUUCAAACA
This 672-nucleotide long non-coding RNA is filed under the name Betta splendens (Siamese fighting fish). RNAcentral's name for it is "lncRNA (ENSBSLG00000001090.1)". The record is from RNAcentral. Lineage: Eukaryota; Metazoa; Chordata; Actinopteri; Anabantiformes; Osphronemidae.